ACAUAUUUGUCUUAGUUAUUUUUCAUUGCCGAAUAUAAGUUAAAAGAAAAGAAGAAAGAAUAAGCUAGGGUUCGGCCUAUUUGGAAGCUCAAUCAAGAUCAAGAACUAAAGAAAUCGGAUUUGGAUCGGGGAAAAACGAAAGUUAUCGACUAGCUGCCCGAUUUCAUUUUGUACCGUCCGAGAUUUUGGAAAUCAAGUUAUCAGCUCGGGGAUCGUCAGCGAGGCUUAUCACACUAUCUACUAUUUUGGUUACCUUUAUAAAUUAAAUGCAAAUUAUGGCAUGUAU
This is a long non-coding RNA of Gossypium arboreum, 286 nucleotides long. RefSeq lists it as uncharacterized. NCBI's taxonomy places the organism in Eukaryota, Viridiplantae, Streptophyta, Magnoliopsida, Malvales, Malvaceae. The transcript is spliced from 3 exons. The record is from RefSeq and is a predicted model, not a curated record.